RNAcentral lists this ribosomal RNA (425 nucleotides) under uncultured bacterium. Its description in RNAcentral is "bacterial SSU rRNA". It matches the Rfam family "Bacterial small subunit ribosomal RNA", at positions 359 to 776 of the family's 1533-position model. The record is from RNAcentral.
GAAUAUUGGACAAUGGGCGAAAGCCUGAUCCAGACAUGCCGCGUGUGUGAAGAAGGUCUUCGGAUUGUAAAGCACUUUAAGUUGGGAGGAAGGGUUGUAGAUUAAUACUCUGCAAUUUUGACGUUACCGACAGAAUAAGCACCGGCUCACUCUGUGCCAGCAGCCUCGGUAAUACAGAGGGUGCAAGCGUUAAUCGGAAUUACUGGGCGUAAAGCGCGCGUAGGUGGUUUGUUAAGUUGGAUGUGAAAUCCCCGGGCUCAACCUGGGAACUGCAUUCAAAACUGACAAGCUAGAGUAUGGUAGAGGGUGGUGGAAUUUCCUGUGUAGCGGUGAAAUGCGUAGAUAUAGGAAGGAACACCAGUGGCGAAGGCGACCACCUGGACUGAUACUGACACUGAGGUGCGAAAGCGUGGGGAGCAAACAGG